Molecule: transfer RNA, 75 nt
Filed under: Schistocerca americana (American grasshopper)
Lineage: Eukaryota; Metazoa; Arthropoda; Insecta; Orthoptera; Acrididae
Also listed under: 3 other names
Description: tRNA-Thr
Rfam family: tRNA
About the family: Transfer RNA (tRNA) molecules are approximately 80 nucleotides in length. Their secondary structure includes four short double-helical elements and three loops (D, anti-codon, and T loops).
Source: RNAcentral
GCCCUCGGUGGCUCAGAUGGAUAGAGCGUCUGCCAUGUAAGCAGGAGAUCCCAGGUUCGAGUCCCGGUCGGGGCA